Molecule: long non-coding RNA, 1677 nt
Organism: Bubalus bubalis (water buffalo)
Lineage: Eukaryota; Metazoa; Chordata; Mammalia; Artiodactyla; Bovidae
Exons: 2
Source: RefSeq, a predicted model, not a curated record
AACUAGAGAAGGCUGUGGGCAGCAGUGAAGACCCAGAACAACCAAAAAAAAAAAAAGGGUAUAGACAACCGGACCUGAUUGGUCACUGUCCAUGUGGCCUUUGAUCACCUCUGAGUAGCCAGGGUGUCAGGUGUCUCCCUGUGAAGUCAUUUGCCUCCUCUCCACAGUCCUCUUGAGAAGAAAGUCACGAAGCACAGCCUACACUUAAGGAAUUGCUCCCCCUUUUUAAUUUUUAAGGUCAUAAAAUGGUAUAAAAAUCCAAUUUUAAAUCAGUUGACAUGGAGGCAAAACAAAAAGCCAUUGUUAACAGCCUCUUGAGUUUCCUUCCUGGAAUUUUUUUCAAGGCAUUUUCAAGUCACUAUUUUCAUCUCCACCCUGCCACCCACUCCUCACCUUUUUUUUUUUUUCCUUUUUAAAAGGGGGGAUCAUAUUUGACUUCACGGAAUCUAUAAUUUUGUAAUCAUGCCACUAAAGAAGAUAAAGCAACGUGACUGUUUAAUAACAUGAUCUGACCUGCAGAGCAUUUCAAAAGCACUUGAAGCUUUUUCAGCAAACACUGCCUCCCUUUUCAUUUCCUCUAUCAGCACUGAAAAUAGUUGGAGUUUUUUUUUCUCUCUCUUAAUUCCAUGCAUUAAAAAAAAAGAGAUUCUUCUCGACAGAAGGUGUUAAUUCAGGCAUUAAAUCUGGAACAUUCUAAUCACUGUGAAGUUUUGUGUGUCUCAUCUUUGGCAGAAAACGUGUGAAGAUGAGAGCUUAUUCCUUACACCUUACAGCUCCUGAAGCGGCUCUACAGAAGCUCAUCACUUACAUCCUCCCACACUUGAGUCACCUCCCACCUCCUGACCUCGUGUUCCCAGCUUCAGGGUUUCCAGAAGCCCACCUAGUUCCCUCUCAUCUUGCAGGAGGGGCUGCCUUAGCUGAUGCACCCCAAAUCUGCCUUCUCCUCCCAAGCCUCUCCCCUGUACAAUUUUGAACUGCACAAGUCAUAAAUGAAUCCCUCUGUAUUCGUUUCCUGUGGUGGCUUUAACGAACCACCACCAACUUAAACACAAAUUCACUCUUCCACUGUUCUGGAUAUCAAGAGGCUGAAGUCAGGAAGUCCUAAGCGGAAGGUGCUGGUGGAACUGGUCCCUUCUGCAUGCUGGACCCUGUGAUCACAUCGACCUCACCUGGAUGACCAGGAGAUGCCUCAUCUCAAGGGCUUUAACUGAACACACCUGCUAAGCCCUUCUGGCCUCAUAAGGCAAUGUGACAGGUAUUGAGUAUUAGGAUGUGGGUUUACUUGGGGGAGUAUUAUUCAGCCAGCCACACCAUCCUUCUUUAAACAGAAAUAAGUCAGAAUCUAAGAGCCCCUUUGGGGCUUCCCUGGUGGCUCAGCGGUAAAGAAUCCGCCUGCCAAUGCAGGAGAUGCAGGUUCAAUCCCUGGGUUGGGAAGUUUCCCUGGAGAAGGAAAUGGCAACACACUCCAGUAUUCUUGCCUCGGAAAUCCCAUGGACAGAGGAGCCUGGCAGGAUCCUAGGGUACCCUCAGGAAAGACGGCAUCGGCCAGAGAGAGAUGACACGGGUCUUAUAAUAAAUUGAAACCUGAUAGUCUGGGGUUGAACGAUAAGAAAAUAAAGGAGAAAAAAUAAAGAGAAGAGAAAGAGGCUUGAUCUUCCUUGAUUAAUACAGAAAGCC